This 253-nucleotide ribosomal RNA is filed under the name uncultured bacterium. Its description in RNAcentral is "partial 16S ribosomal RNA". It matches the Rfam family "Bacterial small subunit ribosomal RNA", at positions 524 to 776 of the family's 1533-position model. The record is from RNAcentral.
UACGGGGGGGGCAAGCGUUGUUCGGAAUUACUGGGCGUAAAGGGCUCGUAGGGGGCCAACUAAGUCAGACGUGAAAUCCCUCGGCUUAACCGGGGAACUGCGUCUGAUACUGGAUGGCUUGAGUUCGGGAGAGGGAUGCGGAAUUCCAGGUGUAGCGGUGAAAUGCGUAGAUAUCUGGAGGAACACCGGUGGCGAAGGCGGCAUCCUGGACCGACACUGACACUGAGGAGCGAAAGCCAGGGGAGCAAACGGG